This 373-nucleotide ribosomal RNA is filed under the name uncultured organism. Its description in RNAcentral is "partial 16S ribosomal RNA". It matches the Rfam family "Bacterial small subunit ribosomal RNA", at positions 527 to 896 of the family's 1533-position model. The record is from RNAcentral.
GUAGGUGGCAAGCGUUGUCCGGAAUUAUUGGGCGUAAAGCGCGCGCAGGCGGUUCUUUAAGUCUGAUGUGAAAGCCCACGGCUCAACCGUGGAGGGUCAUUGGAAACUGGAGAACUUGAGUACAGAAGAGGAAAGCGGAAUUCCACGUGUAGCGGUGAAAUGCGUAGAGAUGUGGAGGAACACCAGUGGCGAAGGCGGCUUUCUGGUCUGUAACUGACGCUGAGGCGCGAAAGCGUGGGGGGCAAACAGGGAUUAGAUACCCUGGUAGUCCACGCCGUAAACGAUGAGUGCUAAGUGUUAGGGGGUUUCCCGCCCCUUAGUGCUGCAGCUAACGCAUUAAGCACUCCGCCUGGGGAGUACGGCCGCAAGGCUG